RNAcentral lists this transfer RNA (73 nucleotides) under Candidatus Iainarchaeum sp. RNAcentral's name for it is "tRNA-Val". It matches the Rfam family "tRNA". From Rfam's summary of the family: Transfer RNA (tRNA) molecules are approximately 80 nucleotides in length. Their secondary structure includes four short double-helical elements and three loops (D, anti-codon, and T loops). The record is from RNAcentral. Lineage: Archaea; Nanobdellati; Candidatus Iainarchaeota; Candidatus Iainarchaeia; Candidatus Iainarchaeales; Candidatus Iainarchaeaceae.
GGGCUCGUCGUCUAGCGGCUAUGACGUCGGCUUUACAAGCCGAAGGUCGGCGGUUCGAUCCCGCCCGGGCCCA